Molecule: ribosomal RNA, 487 nt
Filed under: Morchella semilibera
Lineage: Eukaryota; Fungi; Ascomycota; Pezizomycetes; Pezizales; Morchellaceae
Description: partial large subunit ribosomal RNA
Rfam family: Eukaryotic large subunit ribosomal RNA
Source: RNAcentral
UUGUGAGGCAUCUCCGGGUAGGGCGCCAGCCUAAGUUCCUUGGAACAGGACGUCACAGAGGGUGAGAAUCCCGUGCUUGGCUGGCUGUCCCCGUCCACGUGAGGUGUCUUCGACGAGUCGAGUUGUUUGGGAAUGCAGCUCAAAAUGGGUGGUAAAUUUCAUCUAAAGCUAAAUAUUGGUGGGAGACCGAUAGCGCACAAGUAGAGUGAUCGAAAGAUGAAAAGCACUUUGAAAAUAGAGUUAAAAAGUACGUGAAAUUGUUGAAAGGGAAGCGCUUGAGACCAGACUUCGGUAGGGGGUGAUCAGCCGUCCUUCUGGGCGGUGCACUUGCCCCCCUCCGGGCCAGCAUCGGUUGAGGCGGCGGGAUAAAGGUCCCGGGAAUGUGGCUCCUUCACGGGAGUGUUAUAGCCCGGGUGAAUGCCGCCAGCCUCGACCGAGGACCGCGCCCGCAAGGGUUAGGAUGCUUGGCAUAAUGGUCUUCAGCGAC